GUUCUCUCAAGCCAGGAGGGGGCGAGACCAUUUGCUUCCUGCAGUGGUUCUUCCAGGCCAGGAGGGGGAGUUGUGGAAUAGUCUUCUCUAGCUCAGGCAACAGCCAGCUCGAUGAUAGGUGUCUUUGCUCUACCUCCUGAGCCCCCAACGUCCUACUGCACCGCUGCCGUCCGUCAAAAAGGACAUCCAAAUCAUGUUGUGAUUGGUAGGCUGGACACAAAAAGUGUGUGUGUGUGUGUGUGUGUGUGUGUGUGGGGGCGGGGGUGCAGGUGGUUUAAUUUAUUUAAGAGUGGCGCAAGAGUUACAAUAAUGUGGGAGUAGGUAGAAAGUGGUGGAGAGAAAGAGACAAUGGAAGAAGCAUUGAUUCUCGAGAUUAUGGACUUCAAAGUCAAUAAUAGGUUACCUGAUGCCGGCCUAACAAAACAACAGAGAUGCACGAUAUAAAGAAGAUAACACUUUGCUCAAGGCUUUUCUGACCAGAUGGAGAGCUUCAUUACGUUUGUAGAAGACGGAAGGAGAGCGAGCGUUUGGAUAAGGUAGUCACCUCAGCUGCCAAGGCCAACAUAAUAUUCGAAGAAAUGCUCUGCAGUUCUAUCUGUGGUCACUACGAUGUGGAGAAAAACGCACAAUGCGGUGAUCAGUCGAAACGACUGGCCUGGCAUGGAGGCGGACAUCCGCAAAUGGACUACAGAAAGGGAAGUCUGUGGCCCGCUGCUUGAGCUGCUCCCCCCGCGACCCAACCCCGGAUAUAUAUAUGAAGAUGAGAUGAGGAGAGAUGAUAAUUGACUUCAGGUGGCCCAGUGUCCUGAGUGCCAAAGAAAUCAGGCCAGUCUCAAAGAAAGUACCCAGUACUGUACCACCAGAGGUAACAACCAUUUGAGCUGGUGGGGAGGAACCUCAUGAGGCGCAGUUUAACAGAGUGGUAAUCUUUACAUUUGUGUGAUGGUUGAUUAUUUCACCAAGUGGGCAGCGGCCUACCCUCUGAAGAGUAAGUCUGCAGAGGAGGUGAGCAAUUGUAUUCUUGAUACAACUUUAAGAACCAGGUAGCUAAGGAACCUUCCGUAUAUCUUAGGGAUAAGGAACUGCAGUCUGCAAUGUUCAGCAUCAAGACCAAGAACUAGUUAACAAAGAAGUAUAGCCCAUCUUUUGUUGUUGUUUGGCAGGAAGGCAAAUACCCAUCUUAUGUGCCACAGAGCCUAAGGUAAGUGGCUCUAUUUGUAUAGGUCGUCAGGGAGUGUGGUCAUUAUUACUUGACUAAAUAGGUGAGAUUUUAACACCACUUGGUAUCUUUGUACUUUAGGUGACACUGAGAAGGUGGAGCGUUUGCUGAUGAGGGAGGCGGUUUUUAAAGGACUCUCAAAGCAGACAAACGUACAUAAAACUAAAAUACAGUCCUACAAGCGUCCAAAAGAAGCAGGAGAAAAUCCGUAAACUGUAGCUGGAGAUCGUGUGCUCAAAAAAGGUGGAGGAACGCAGUAAAAAGGGGUCUCGCUGGGGCCUUUCAAAAUAAUCGCACUUUGCCAUGCUGGCGGGGGCAAAUAUCGACCUCCUCACCCCCUUCAUUGAGCCAGAGGAGCUUCAAGAGAUAAUACCAGGGGAGAGUCAGCCCACUCAAAGUAAUGGUACAUUACAUUCAGUUAUGUGACAUUAAGGAUAAUAAUGCCAUCCAGUCUUUUAAAUGACUUGUGUUCUGAUUUUCCAGUUUUCCAACAAAUAUGGACUAGGGAAAAGGGGAGAUUCUGUGGUCCAAAAUCGGGCCAUGUAUCAAAUAUUCUCGGCAGAUCCCCAGAGCCAGGCCCCCGGGAAGGAAUUGGAGAGAGAGGUAAGUCUUGUUUUGUGAUUCAAAUAUGUCCUCUUUGAUAAGAAAGUUGAUUAUAAUCAUUUUCGUUUAGCUUGUAAAGGCUUACCUCUCCUGUGGGUAAAAAAUGGGCCAGGGUCAAAUUUAAAGUAACUUUGAGAUGAUGUGCCAUUUGGAAGGGCAGGUCACGGGGGACGAGGGGGGUAAGGACAAUGUAUUUAUUGUCUAUUUAACCAUCUUAAAAAACGAAACUAAUCACUUUCAGCUAGAUAUAAUGGAGUGGGACAUCCGAUCCUCAUCGGGGCGGUCUGCAAGGAUGGACAUUGGACUCUAGUAUUAACUGCCCUUUAAUUAUUGCAAUUGAUGAAUCUAUAAGGAAAAGAUCUCUCAACAUUUCUCGAUAAUGAGACUACAUCUAAGGAGUGGAGUUUGUUUAGAUCUCUCUUUCUCUUUCUCUCUCUCUCUUAUAUAUAUAUAUUUUGACCCCUCCAUGGGACCACAUAGACAUUAUUAUUUGGUCAAGGUUCAACUGUCAUGUCUAGCGUUUUGGAAAAGGCCUGUAGCUAUCCAACCUUUCACUUAGGUUUGUCAACAAUCAACCACUAACAAAUUAAUCAGUUCAGAGUAACAAGCAACCUAUUGCUACUGCUUGCCCUAAGGGCAGCAGUUGACACAGCAGUCCGAAAGUAUACUCAACGUCUACACUGGCAGUCUGCACAGCACAUAACCCUCAUAGGAGUAUAGCCUUGUGCUAGCAGCUAGACACAGGCUGGUUGGGUAUUGUUGAACAUGUAGUCGCUUUAACCACGCUGUGCUAUACAGCCUCUACUGGUGGGACAUAUAGUACAUUAAACAACACUGUCCUAGACACGGCCUAUACUGGGGGGCACGGUGGGUCAUGUGGUCCAGUAAACUA
Molecule: long non-coding RNA, 2714 nt
Organism: Gadus macrocephalus (Pacific cod)
Lineage: Eukaryota; Metazoa; Chordata; Actinopteri; Gadiformes; Gadidae
Exons: 4
Source: RefSeq, a predicted model, not a curated record